Molecule: long non-coding RNA, 1280 nt
Filed under: Parus major (Great Tit)
Lineage: Eukaryota; Metazoa; Chordata; Aves; Passeriformes; Paridae
Description: lncRNA (ENSPMJG00000000232.1)
Source: RNAcentral
CUGGACCAGAGCCACAGUGGAAAUCUUGUACUUGGCAAGCAAGCUCCUUCAGCAUUGUUCCAUGUGAUCCCAAGUGAACCAAGCAAGAGGUAUUUGACCUACUUGGAUUCUGUGAAAAAUAUCUAUUGACAACACUGUGGGAGCUCAAGCAGUGAUUUCUUCAUCAGUAUCCUCUCUUUGAAAAUGCAUCAACCUGGGGAACCUCAGACAGCACAGGACUGGAUUCAGAAUCCUGCCUUCAGGAAGACCAGUGGUAAAAAUGAAUGUUUCAGUUAUGAUUGCCAUGGUCCUAACUUCUCCAGGCCUGAAAGACAAAGCUCCCCUUCCUUGUGCUGCAUUCCAUUGGACCUGCUUCUCACUUACCUAGUGUUCUCCUAGGAUUUUCUCAUGUCAUUACUGUGUUGCAGUUACUAUGAGAAAGCAGUAACAGGUGAUAGCUGCAAUCCAGGACGUCAGCAUAUCCAAGGACACAGUGUGGAAAUUGACUUCAGGACAUUCACUGACGAGCUUCCCCUACUAGGUCAAAAAUGUGUUUUUCCAACACCCAGAAUCAUGUCAUUUAGCAUAGAGAAGAUCUGCAUAUCUUAAGUGGGUGAUAUUUCUCUUCUCUACACUUUUCUAUGCCCAGUCUAUCACAAGUUUGAAAACUAAAAUCAGGUCUUGCCCGAAGUAUGUUUGAACUUGGGGAAUUACUUGGUUCUAGAUGUCAUUGCUGUGAAGUGUUGUUGGCUCCUCUCCUCCUGUCCCAAGAUUCUGCCAGGUGUAAAUCUCUGCAGACAUCUUGCCUUCUCCUUUCCCCCAAGCUAGAAAGCCCCUGUUGGCUAAGUAUGUGACAUACCUUACCAUCAUUAGUGCUAGAUUAAAUAGGGAAGGAAAAACCUUGAGAUGUAGUUCCUUCUGAUUAGGAGAUAGAUAUUCUUAAAUAUGUAAUAUAUAUAUAUAUAUAUGAAAACUAUGAGUAGAAUGAAGUCUGGCAGAAAAUCAAGGAUUUUUCUUUGAGAUGGACAAGUACACCCAGCCAGUGAUCACCCUAAAGUAAUUAAAUCAGUAACUGAACAGGUCUUAAUGAAGAUGAGCUCAUGAGCUUCACUUCUAGGGUGUAGGCACAGUGUCCAGUGGCUCUGAUGGGUCAGUCUGCUGAUCUCAGUGUGCUGGGAGGUUGAGGGAUCAUAAUCUUGUGUCAGCAUAGCCAGGAGAGAGCUGUGGAACAUGCAGAUACCAUGCACCUCCAUGUAUCACCUCACCCUAGCGUUGUCUUCCAUGGUUACAAAAGCUUGCAA